This 70-nucleotide transfer RNA is filed under the name Heterocephalus glaber (naked mole-rat). It matches the Rfam family "tRNA". Rfam says of the family: Transfer RNA (tRNA) molecules are approximately 80 nucleotides in length. Their secondary structure includes four short double-helical elements and three loops (D, anti-codon, and T loops). Lineage: Eukaryota; Metazoa; Chordata; Mammalia; Rodentia; Bathyergidae. The record is from Rfam by way of RNAcentral.
GGGGAUGUAGCUCAGUGGUAGAAUACCUGCCUAGCACACAAGACCCUGGGUUCCACCCCCAGCAUUACCA